UACAGAGGGUGCGAGCGUUAAUCGGAAUUACUGGGCGUAAAGGGCUCGUAGGCGGCCAACUAAGUCGGAUGUGAAAUCCCCAGGCUUAACCUGGGAAUUGCAUCCGAUACUGGAUGGCUUGAAUCCGGGAGAGGGAUGCGGAAUUCCAGGUGUAGCGGUGAAAUGCGUAGAUAUCUGGAGGAACACCGGUGGCGAAGGCGGCAUCCUGGACCGGCAUUGACGCUGAGGAGCGAAAGCCAGGGGAGCAAACGGG
This 253-nucleotide ribosomal RNA is filed under the name uncultured bacterium. RNAcentral's name for it is "partial 16S ribosomal RNA". It matches the Rfam family "Bacterial small subunit ribosomal RNA", at positions 524 to 776 of the family's 1533-position model. The record is from RNAcentral.